AUUGAACGCUGGCGGCAGGCCUAACACAUGCAAGUCGAGCGGAUGAAGGGAGCUUGCUCCUGGAUUCAGCGGCGGACGGGUGAGUAAUGCCUAGGAAUCUGCCUGGUAGUGGGGGAUAACGUCCGGAAACGGGCGCUAAUACCGCAUACGUCCUGAGGGAGAAAGUGGGGGAUCUUCGGACCUCACGCUAUCAGAUGAGCCUAGGUCGGAUUAGCUAGUUGGUGGGGUAAAGGCCUACCAAGGCGACGAUCCGUAACUGGUCUGAGAGGAUGAUCAGUCACACUGGAACUGAGACACGGUUCAGACUCCUACGGGAGGCAGCAGUGGGGAAUAUUGGACAAAGGGCGAAAGCCUGAUCCAGCCAUGCCGCGUGUGUGAAGAAGGUCUUCGGAUUGUAAAGCACUUUAAGUUGGGAGGAAGGGCAGUAAGUUAAUACCUUGCUGUUUUGACGUUACCAACAGAAUAAGCACCGGCUAACUUCGUG
RNAcentral lists this ribosomal RNA (484 nucleotides) under uncultured bacterium. RNAcentral's name for it is "partial 16S ribosomal RNA". It matches the Rfam family "Bacterial small subunit ribosomal RNA", at positions 30 to 507 of the family's 1533-position model. The record is from RNAcentral.